GAUGAACGCUGGCGGCGUGCCUAAUACAUGCAAGUCGAGCGAACGGACGAGAAGCUUGCUUCUCUGAUGUUAGCGGCGGACGGGUGAGUAACACGUGGAUAACCUACCUAUAAGACUGGGAUAACUUCGGGAAACCGGAGCUAAUACCGGAUGAUAUUUUGAACCGCAUGGUUCAAAAGUGAAAGACGGUCUUGCUGUCACUUAUAGAUGGAUCCGCGCUGCAUAGCUAGUUGGUAAGGUAACGGCUUACCAAGGCAACGAUGCAUAGCCGACCUGAGAGGGUGAUCGGCCACACUGGAACUGAGACACGGUCCAGACUCCUACGGGAGGCAGCAGUAGGGAAUCUUCCGCAAUGGGCGAAAGCCUGACGGAGCAACGCCGCGUGAGUGAUGAAGGUCUUCGGAUCGUAAAACUCUGUUAUUAGGGAAGAACAUAUGUGUAAGUAACUGUGCACAUCUUGACGGUACCUAAUCAGAAAGCCACGGCUAACUACGUG
Molecule: ribosomal RNA, 496 nt
Filed under: uncultured bacterium
Lineage: Bacteria
Description: partial 16S ribosomal RNA
Rfam family: Bacterial small subunit ribosomal RNA
Source: RNAcentral